UACCUUAGACUGGGAUAACUUGGGAAACUGAGGAUAAUACCGGAUAGGCAAUUAUUCCUGUAAUGGUUUUUUGUUUAAAUGUUUUUUCGCCUAAGGAUGGGUCUGCGGCCGAUUAGGUAGUUGGUUAGGUAAUGGCUUACCAAGCCGUUGAUCGGUACGGGUUGUGAGAGCAAGAGCCCGGAGAUGGAACCUGAGACAAGGUUCCAGGCCCUACGGGGUGCAGCAGGCGCGAAACCUCCGCAAUGUGAGAAAUCGCGACGGGGGGAUCCCAAGUGCCAUUCUUAACGGGAUGGCUUUUCAUUAGUGUAAAAAGCUUUUGGAAUAAGAGCUGGGCAAGACCGGUGCCAGCCGCCGCGGUAACACCGGCAGCUCUAGUGGUAGCAAUUUUUAUUGGGCCUAAAGCGUCCGUAGCCGGUUUAAUAAGUCUCUGGUGAAAUCCUGUAGCUUAACUGUGGGAAUUGCUGGAGAUACUAUUAGACUUGAGACCGGGAGAGGUUAGAGGUACUCCCCAGCGUAGAGGUGAAAUUCUGUAAUC
RNAcentral lists this ribosomal RNA (535 nucleotides) under uncultured rumen archaeon. RNAcentral's name for it is "bacterial SSU rRNA". It matches the Rfam family "Archaeal small subunit ribosomal RNA", at positions 111 to 647 of the family's 1478-position model. The record is from RNAcentral.